RNAcentral lists this ribosomal RNA (465 nucleotides) under uncultured bacterium. RNAcentral describes it as "partial 16S ribosomal RNA". It matches the Rfam family "Bacterial small subunit ribosomal RNA", at positions 28 to 507 of the family's 1533-position model. The record is from RNAcentral.
GACGAACGCUGGCGGCGUGCUUAACACAUGUAAGUCGUACGGUAAGGCCCUUUCGGGGGUACACGAGUGGCGAACGGGUGAGUAACACGUGAGUAACCUGCCCACAACUUUGGGAUAACGCUAGGAAACUGGUGCUAAUACUGGAUAUGUGCUCCUGCUGCAUGGUGGGGGUUGGAAAGCUCCGGCGGUUGUGGAUGGACUCGCGGCCUAUCAGCUUGUUGGUGGGGUAGUGGCCUACCAAGGCGGCGACGGGUAGCCGGCCUGAGAGGGUGACCGGCCACAUUGGGACUGAGAUACGGCCCAGACUCCUACGGGAGGCAGCAGUGGGGAAUAUUGCACAAUGGGCGCAAGCCUGAUGCAGCAACGCCGCGUGCGGGAUGACGGCCUUCGGGUUGUAAACCGCUUUCAGCAGGGACGAAGCUUUUUGUGACGGUACCUGCAGAAGAAGCACCGGCUAACUACGUG